Molecule: ribosomal RNA, 584 nt
Filed under: uncultured bacterium
Lineage: Bacteria
Description: bacterial SSU rRNA
Rfam family: Bacterial small subunit ribosomal RNA
Source: RNAcentral
CCUACGGGAGGCAGCAGUAGGGAAUCUUCCGCAAUGGACGAAAGUCUGACGGAGCAACGCCGCGUGAACGAUGAAGGCCUUCGGGUCGUAAAGUUCUGUUGUUAGGGAAGAACAAGUGCUAGUUGAAUAAGCUGGCACCUUGACGGUACCUAACCAGAAAGCCACGGCUAACUACGUGCCAGCAGCCGCGGUAAUACGUAGGUGGCAAGCGUUGUCCGGAAUUAUUGGGCGUAAAGCGCGCGCAGGCGGUUUCUUAAGUCUGAUGUGAAAGCCCCCGGCUCAACCGGGGAGGGUCAUUGGAAACUGGGAAACUUGAGUGCAGAAGAGGAAAGUGGAAUUCCAAGUGUAGCGGUGAAAUGCGUAGAGAUUUGGAGGAACACCAGUGGCGAAGGCGACUUUCUGGUCUGUAACUGACGCUGAGGCGCGAAAGCGUGGGGAGCAAGCAGGAUUAGAUACCCUGGUAGUCCACGCUGUAAACGAUGAGUGCUAAGUGUUAGAGGGUUUCCGCCUUUAGUGCUGAAGUUACGCAUUAAGCACUCCGCCUGGGGAGUACGGUCGCAAGCUGAAACUCAAAGGAUUGACGG